This 66-nucleotide transfer RNA is filed under the name Palaeocimbex sp. CSCS-Hym-MC0161. Its description in RNAcentral is "tRNA-Tyr". The record is from RNAcentral. Lineage: Eukaryota; Metazoa; Arthropoda; Insecta; Hymenoptera; Cimbicidae.
AAUGAAAUGACUGAAUUUAGGUAAUAAAUUGUAAAUUUAUUUAUGAAACAAAAGUUUCUUUCAUUA